This 449-nucleotide ribosomal RNA is filed under the name uncultured bacterium. RNAcentral describes it as "partial 16S ribosomal RNA". It matches the Rfam family "Bacterial small subunit ribosomal RNA", at positions 29 to 523 of the family's 1533-position model. The record is from RNAcentral.
AACGAACGCUGGCGGCAUGCCUAACACAUGCAAGUCGAACGAGAUCUUCGGGUCUAGUGGCGCACGGGUGCGUAACGCGUGGGAAUCUGCCCUUUGGUUCGGAAUAACAGUUGGAAACGACUGCUAAUACCGGAUGAUGACGAAAGUCCAAAGAUUUAUCGCCAGAGGAUGAGCCCGAGUAGGAUUAGCUAGUUGGUGUGGUAAAGGCGCACCAAGGCGACGAUCCUUAGCUGGUCUGAGAGGAUGAUCAGCCACACUGGGACUGAGACACGGCCCAGACUCCUACGGGAGGCAGCAGUGGGGAAUAUUGGACGAUGGGCGAAAGCCUGAUCCAGCAAUGCCGCGUGAGUGAUGAAGGCCUUAGGGUUGUAAAGCUCUUUUACCCGGGAUGAUAAUGACGGUACCGGGAGAAUAAGCUCCGGCUAACUCCGUGCCAGCCGCCGCGGUAA